Molecule: ribosomal RNA, 305 nt
Filed under: uncultured bacterium
Lineage: Bacteria
Description: bacterial SSU rRNA
Rfam family: Bacterial small subunit ribosomal RNA
Source: RNAcentral
CCUACGGGGGGCAGCAGUGAGGAAUAUUGGUCAAUGGGCGCGAGCCUGAACCAGCCAAGUCGCGUGAGGGAAGACGGCCCUACGGGUUGUAAACCUCUUUUGUCGGGGAGCAAAGCGAACCACGUGUGGUUCAUUGAGAGUACCCGAAGAAAAAGCAUCGGCUAACUCCGUGCCAGCAGCCGCGGUAAUACGUAGGGGGCAAGCGUUAUCCGGAUUUACUGGGUGUAAAGGGAGCGUAGACGGCAUAGCAAGUCUGAAGUGAAAGCCCAAGGCUCAACCAUGGGACUGCUUUGGAAACUGUUAAG